This 419-nucleotide long non-coding RNA is filed under the name Olea europaea subsp. europaea. The record is from RNAcentral. Lineage: Eukaryota; Viridiplantae; Streptophyta; Magnoliopsida; Lamiales; Oleaceae.
AGCNAAUGAUCUCGAUCACGAUAGAUCUUCACAAUUAGCAGCUGUCAUUUAUCGUUAAAAGUUAUAUUAGACGAGUCUCUACAUAGAGCUUCAUCGACAUCACAUCACAUUUGAUUGAUUUUAACUUGUUUAAUACUUUAUGGGAGUCGAACAAUAUUUUUGUUUCUAAUUUUUCGACACUAGUAGUUUUGACGACUUCAUUCGAAUUUUGGCUCGUAGACACCACGUUGAUGGACCUCUGUAUUUACGCCCUGUCCCUAUUUUACAUGAUCACAAUUUGCAGAUGAAUUUUUUGCCGUCAGAGCGUAUUUUUCUUUCUUGUUUUUAGUUUUCUUUAUUUGAAUGUGAAGAUACAAUUUUUUUAGUUCCCUUGUAUUCAACACGUGUACUUAGAAAUGAAAAAUGAUACCCUACAAAUA